RNAcentral lists this ribosomal RNA (511 nucleotides) under uncultured microorganism. RNAcentral describes it as "bacterial SSU rRNA". It matches the Rfam family "Bacterial small subunit ribosomal RNA", at positions 9 to 518 of the family's 1533-position model. The record is from RNAcentral.
GAGUUUGAUCGUGGCUCAGAUUGAACGCUGGCGGCAGGCCUAACACAUGCAAGUCGAGCGGAUGAAGGGAGCUUGCUCCUGGAUUCAGCGGCGGACGGGUGAGUAAUGCCUAGGAAUCUGCCUGGUAGUGGGGGAUAACGUCCGGAAACGGGCGCUAAUACCGCAUACGUCCUGAGGGAGAAAGUGGGGGAUCUUCGGACCUCACGCUAUCAGAUGAGCCUAGGUCGGAUUAGCUAGUUGGUGGGGUAAAGGCCUACCAAGGCGACGAUCCGUAACUGGUCUGAGAGGAUGAUCAGUCACACUGGAACUGAGACACGGUCCAGACUCCUACGGGAGGCAGCAGUGGGGAAUAUUGGACAAUGGGCGAAAGCCUGAUCCAGCCAUGCCGCGUGUGUGAAGAAGGUCUUCGGAUUGUAAAGCACUUUAAGUUGGGAGGAGGGCAGUAGUUAAUACCUUGCUGUUUGACGUUACCAACAGAAUAAGCACCGGCUAACUUCGUGCCAGCCGCCGC